This 468-nucleotide ribosomal RNA is filed under the name uncultured bacterium. RNAcentral's name for it is "partial 16S ribosomal RNA". It matches the Rfam family "Bacterial small subunit ribosomal RNA", at positions 28 to 507 of the family's 1533-position model. The record is from RNAcentral.
GACGAACGCUGGCGGCGUGCUUAACACAUGCAAGUCGAACGGAAAGGCCCUGCUUUUGUGGGGUGCUCGAGUGGAGAACGGGUGAGUAACACGUGAGUAACCUGCCCUUGACUUUGGGAUAACUUCAGGAAACUGGGGCUAAUACCGGAUAGGAGCUCCUGCUGCAUGGUGGGGGUUGGAAAGUUUCGGCGGUUGGGGAUGGACUCGCGGCGUAUCAGGUUGUUGGUGGGGUAGUGGCUUACCAAGGCUUUGACGGGUAGCCGGCCUGAGAGGGUGACCGGCCACAUUGGGACUGAGAUACGGCCCAGACUCCUACGGGAGGCAGCAGUGGGGAAUAUUGCACAAUGGGCGGAAGCCUGAUGCAGCAACGCCGCGUGCGGGAUGACGGCCUUCGGGUUGUAAACCGCUUUCGCCUGUGACGAAGCGUGAGUGACGGUAAUGGGUAAAGAAGCACCGGCUAACUCCGUG